Molecule: RNA transcript, 1109 nt
Organism: Salvia miltiorrhiza (redroot sage)
Lineage: Eukaryota; Viridiplantae; Streptophyta; Magnoliopsida; Lamiales; Lamiaceae
Gene name: cystathionine beta-lyase, chloroplastic-like
Exons: 5
Source: RefSeq, a predicted model, not a curated record
UUAUCACUGUCAUGUUUGCCCAAUGACCAAAUCAAAAAAGAUUUAUUAAAGUUGAACAAUGAAGAACACAAGAACCAAUUGCAACUAUACUAUGUUUCAAAUCAGUGAGAAGUAUCAUUACUCCACAGGUGCCCUUUGAGAAAUUUGGAAGUAUUAAAUUCAGAAGUAUUAGGCUAUGCGAUCACUCGUUUUAUUACCAUUAUGCAGAAAAUUUUCAAGUGUUUUAGCUCUCUGUUUAUCCUUUAUCUUGCCAUUUGCUAUUUGAUGUUUCCAGCCAACUACUGCCUGACUACCUUGUUUCCUCUGUAACAAAAUGCCAUACAUACAACCUCUAUCUUUGAUCAAUAAACUGAUCACAAGAUAACUACCAUUUUGAGCUAACAUUUACAGAUCUCUUACAGCAUCUCUGUUUCCAUUGCUUGAGAUACAAAGGGAUGGAUGUCAGCACGUCUGCUUUGGUUGAUGGAGUUGCCGAAUGCACAAAUGAAGAGAUCAUACAAACAAGUCGCCAAGUGGAGCCAAGUGUUUCCACGGUGUUGAUGAAUUUUUCCAAUGACUUUGAUCCUUAUGAGGCUUUAAGCACACCUCUAUAUCAAACAGCAACUUUCAAGCAGCCUUCAGCUACGGAACCUGGAACUUAUGAUUAUACAAGAAUUGGAAAUCUUUGCAUUACUCUCAGGCGAAGGGUGCAGGAUCCGUGCUGAGCUUCUUAACGGGGUCGCUGGCUCUCUCCAAGCACGUCGUUGAGACGACAAAGUAUUUCAGCAUAACCGUGAGUUUCGGGAGCGUCAAGUCCCUCAUCAGCUUGCCCUGCUUCAUGUCUCAUGCAAGCAUACCUGCAGCGGUACGCGAGGCGCGAGGUCUGACCGAGGAUCUCGUGCGUGUAUCCGUCGGGAUCGAAGAUGCCGACGACCUCAUCUCCGAUCUCGAGCACGCCCUACGGACGGGGCCUGCGUAGCUUGCCUCCGCAUAUAUAAAAGCAGAAUUGCUUAGCAGAAAUAUUUUUCCGCCAUUUUGCUUAACCCCAUAUUUAGAAGGGUUCUUUCAAAUAAUGCAUGAACCAUUGACUUUGUUUAUUAUUUAUCUAUUUAAUUUUCCAUUUAUCCAAA